This 39373-nucleotide long non-coding RNA is filed under the name Triticum aestivum (bread wheat). RNAcentral describes it as "long non-coding RNA (TAES_LNC019815)". Lineage: Eukaryota; Viridiplantae; Streptophyta; Magnoliopsida; Poales; Poaceae. The record is from RNAcentral.
UUUUUUUUUUGGUGAAAUUCCAAUUUCAAGCGAUUCCAAUUCCAUGAUCCAAUAUCAUCGCAUAGCCUAUACCAUGUCAAUGCUUUUCCUUUCAAAGAUAAAGGGAAAACCUUUUUCAACACCUCAUCUCGGGGUAGACCUGCAAGCUUAAACAAUCCACAAAUUUGUUCCACAUAUAUCAAGUGCAUAUCAGGAUGUUCUGUUCCAUCUCCUCCAUAAGGAUUAGCUAGCAGUUGUUCUAUCAUACCUGAAGGAAUUUCAUAUUCAAUAUUUUUAGUAGGUGUGGUAGGUUGAGGGGUAGCUAAUUGUGGUUCCGAACAAGGUGAAGAUACCCCGAACAAACCCCUCAAAGGAUUGUUUUCCAUAGUAACAAGUGACAAAAAAUUUCAGCACACUAUAUAAAUGUUUCCUUACCGAAUUCCACUUACCAAAGGCGCUUCACUCCCCGGCAACGGCGCCAGAAAAUAACCUUGAUGACCCACAAGUAUAGGGGAUCAGCUGUAGCUCUUUUUGAUAAGUAAGAGUAUCGAACCCAACGAGGAGCAGAAGGAAAUGACAAGUAGUUUUCAGUAAGGUAAUGUCUGCAAGUGCUGAAAUUCUAAGUAGCGUAGCAGUUUGAUAGCAAGAUAAUUUGUAACGAGCAAGUAACGAUAGUAGUAACAAAAGUGCAGCAAGAUAGCCCAGUAUUUUUAAGGCAAAGGACAGGCCAAAACGGUUUCUUAUGAUAAGCAAAGCGUUCUUGAGGGUACACGGGAAUUUCAUCUAGUCACUUAUCAUGUUGGUUUGAUUUGUGUUCGCUACUUUGAUUAUUUGAUAUGUGGGUGGACCGGUGCUUAGGUGCUGUUCUUACUUGAACAAACCUCCUACUUAUGAUUAACCCUCCCGCAGGCAUCCGCAACUACGAGAAAAGUAUUAAGAAUAAAUUCUAACCAUAGCAUUAAACUCUAGGAUCCGAUCGGUCCCUUACGGAACAGCGCAUAAACUGGGGUUUAAGUUUCUGUCACUCUCGCAACCCACCAUCUAAUUGCUACUCCACAAUGCAUUCCCUUAGGCCCAAAAUAUGGUGAAGUGUCAUCUAGUCGACAUUCACAUGACACCACUAAGGGAAUCACAACAUACAUACUAUCAAAAUAUCGAACACAUAUCAAAUUCACAUGAUUACUUGCAACAUGACUUCUCCCGUGACCUCAAGAACAAAAGUAACUACUCACAAAUGAUAAAUAUGCUCAUGAUCAGAGGAGUAUUAAAUAGCAUAAUGGAUCUGAACAUAUAAUCUUCCACCAAAUAAACCAUAUAGUAAUCAACUACAAGAUGUAAUCAACACUACUAGUCACCCACAAGCACCAAUCUAUAGUUCCGACAACAAGGUUGAAUACAAGAGACGAACUAGGGUUUGAGAUGAGAUGGUGUUGUUGAAGAUGUUGAUGGAGAUUGCCCUCCCCAAGAUGGGAGAGUUGUUGGUGAUGAUGAUGACGAUGAUUUCCCCCUCCGGGAGGGAACUUCCCCCGGCGGAAUCGCUCCGCCGGAGGGCAAAAGUUCUCCUGACCAAGUUCCGCCUCGAGACGGCGGCGCUCCGUCCCGAAAGCCUUCUCCUUUUUUAAGGUCAAAAUGACUUAUAUACCAGAAGAUGGGCACCGGAGGUGGGCCGAGGAGGGCACAACCCACCAGGGCACGCCCUCUGGUAGUUAUUUGCUCCAAUAUUUCUUAAAUAUUCCAUAAAAAUUCUUCGUGAAGUUUUGGCUCAUUCGGAGUUGUGCAGAAUAGGUAGCCUGACAUAGCCUUUUCAGGUCCAGAUUCCCAGCUGCUGGAAUUCUCCCUCUUGGUCUGUACCUUGCAAAUUAUGAGAGAAAAGGCAUUAUAAUUACUCCAAAAAGCAUUAUUAUGGAUAAAAACAUCAUAAAUAACAGUAAGAAAACAUGAUGCAAAAUGGACGUAUCAGAGACCCCGGCGCAUGCCCGGAGCUUUACACCACAAUGAUUGAGCUCCGAAGCACCUCCAACUACCAAGGGCGCCCAAGUACCCAAGAGGAACAAGCUCUAGGGUACCAAGCACCCAAGAGUAAUAAGCUUCUCAACUUGUAACUUCCACGUAUCGCCGUGGAGAACUCAAACAGAUGUACCGAAUGCAAUGGCAAGGGCACACGGAGUGCCCAAGUCCUUCUCUCUCAAAUCCCACCACAACAACUAAUGCUAUGGAGGAAAAUGAGAGGAAGAGCAAAGAAGAGAACACGAAGAACUCCAAGAUCUAGAUCCAAGGGGUUCCCCUCACAUAGAGGAGAAUGUGAUUGGUGGAAAUGUGGAUCUAGAUCUCCUCUCUCUUUUCCCUCAAGAACAAGCAAGAAUCAUUGGAGGGAUUGAGAGAUAGCAAGCUCAAAGAAGGUCAACAAUGGGGGAAGAACACGAGCUCAAGAGAUUAAAUGCAAUGGGGAAGAAGACCCCCUUUUAUAGGCCCUCCCAAAUCCAAUUGUUUUGCCUUCAGCCCGCACACAAGCGGUAGUACCGCUCGGGCGAGCGGUACUUCCGCUGGCCCGGUAGUUUCAGCCGUAACGUGCAACUCGGAAACUCAAGGAGGCGGUAGUGCCGCCGGAGCGGUACUACCACUAGGUGUUGCGUGUACACGUGAAACCAUGAUAGUAGAGUAGGACAGCGUGGUACUACCACCCACUACUGCCGCUCUACUUCCGCGCAGAGGAAAACCGAAUCCAGAAGCUAAAAACAAGCGGUAGUGCGCACGACACUGGACCGCGGAAGUACCGCACAAGCGGUACUACCGCUGUCCGGCGCGGUGAUACGUCUCCAACGUAUCUAUAACUUUUGAUUGUUCCAUGUUGUUAUACUAUCAAUCUUGGAUGUUUUAUAAUCAUUUUAUAGUCAUUUUAUAUCAUUUUUUGGUACUAACAUGUUGACAUAGUGCCAAGUGCCAGUUGCUGUUUUCUGCAUGUUUUUUACAUCGCAGGAAAUCAAUAUCAAACGGAGUCCAAAUGCCACGAAACUUUACAGAGAUUUUUUAUGGACCAGAAGACACGUAAUGGGCCCUGGCUGCGCCUGGGGGUGCUCCGAGGAGAGCACAACCCACCAGGGCGCGCCAGGAGGCCCAGGCGCGCCCUGGUGGGUUGUGCCCACCUCGGGUGCCCCCCGGACAGCCUCUUUGCUUUAUAAAUACCCCAAUAUUCCAGAAACCCUAGGGGAGUCGAUGAAAUAUUAAUCCAGCCGCCGCAGAGUCCAGAACCACCAGAUCCAAUCUAGACACCAUCUCGGAUGGGGUUCACCACCUCCAUUGGUGCCUCUCCGAUGAUGCGUGAGUAGUUCUUUGUAGACCUUCGGGUCCGUAGUUAGUAGCUAGAUGGCUUCCUCUCUCUCGCUGAAUUCUCAAUACAAUGGUCUCUUGGAGAUCCAUAUGAUGUAACGCUUUUGCGGUGUGUUUGUUGGGAUCUGAUGAACUUUGAGUUUAUGAUCAGUUAUAUCUUUUUAUAUCCAUGAAAGUAUUUGAGUUUCUUUGAUCUCUUUUAUGCACGAUUGCUUAUAGCCUCGUAUUUCUUCUCCGGUAUUUGGGUUUUGUUUGGCCAACUUGAUCUAUUUAUCUUGCAAUGAGAAGAGGUGCUUUGUAGUGGGUUCGAUCUUACGGUGCUUGAUCCCAGUGACAGAAGGGGAACCGACACGUAUGUAUCGUUGCUACUAAGGAUAAAAUGAUGGGGUCUAUCUCUACAUAGAUAGAUCUUGUCUACAUCAUGUCAUCGUUCUUAUUGCAUUACUCCGUUUUCCCAUGAACUUAAUACACUAGAUGCAUGUUGGAUAGCGGUCGAUGUGUGGAGUAAUAGUAGUAGAUGCAGGCAGGAGUCGGUCUACUAAUCUUGGACGUGAUGCCUAUAUAAUGAUCAUUGCCUGGAUAUCGUCAUGAUUAUUUGAAGUUCUAUCAAUUGCCCAACAGUAAUUUGUUCACCCACCGUUUGCUAUUUUCUCGACAGAAGCCACUAGUGAAACCUACGGCCCCCGGGUCUCUUCCUCAUAUAUUUGCCUUUGUGAUCUACUUUUCCUUUGCAUUUAUUUUCAGAUCUAUUAAACCAAAAAUAUAAAAAUACCUUGCUGCGUUUUCUUAUUUAUUUUAUUUGGCGUUCGAUCUAUCAAUCUACUACAAUUUCCUCACGUCCAUUUGCCCUUCUUGGGGCGCCGCUACCCAAAAGGGAUUGCCAACCCCUUUUACACGUCGGGUUGCGAAGAUUUGUUAUCUCUGUGUAGGGGCUGUUUACGUUGUGUUGCUUGGUUCUCCUACUGGUUCGAUAACCUUGGUUUCUUCACUGAGGGAAAUACCUAUCGUCGUUGUGCUGCAUCAUCCCUUCCUCUUUGGGGAAAUACCGACGUAGCUUCAAGCUGCAUCAGUCGGUACUACCUCUAGGGAGCAACAAAAUGGCCUAAGCAAAACAGAUGGAUGCAGGAAAGCCUAAACUGCCAUAACUUCUUCAAAUGAGCUCCGAAUUGAGCAAAUGAUAUAGAGAUGUGAAACCCCUAUCAAUGAAGAACCGGCAAAAACCCCAACAUCGAAAACAUCAUAGAAGAUGCAUAUGAACUCCGUUUUCGAUGAACUCGAGCUUCUCAUCAAGAUGACCAUAAGUUCCAAAUCUCACAAGGAGAAACACCAAACAAUAACCAAGAAAUAUGAUGCAAGGAUGCAAUGGUUUGUGCUCUCUACGAAUGAUACGAUCAAGCUACUCACUUGAGAGCCCCUUUGAUAGUACGGCCAUUGAUCCUAUAACCCGGUCUCCCAACUACCACCAUGAUACCGGUAAAAUAGAAAACCUAUCAAGGGAAAACCUUUUCCUUGCACAUAGUCCACUUGAGCUAGAUGAUGGCGAUCUUGAUUUCCUCAAGUUGGACCACCUUUCUUGAUUGUGUUGGCUUGAUGAAGACUAGUUGAUUGCUCCCCAUACUCCACUAUGGGUGAGCCAAUCUUUGGCACAUCUUCACAAGUCCAUUGUCACCACAAUGGACGGCAAGCUUCAAGCAUGAUCUCUUCGUGAUGCUUCACUUGAACUUGCACACGACAAUCUUGAUGACGAUCACCACUUGAUGUCAUCCUCCAUGGGUUAUAUGAGAUCUUCCUCUUGACUCAAGCCCAUGGAAACAUACCUAACCCCACAUAGAACUCUCACGUAGACCAUGGGUUAGUACACAAAGCGUAAUGGACAAUGCUUACCAUACCACGGGAUCACUUGAUCCCUCUCGGUACAUCUUCUACGCUUUGUGAGUUGAACAACUUGAUUCACUCUUUGACUUAGUCUUGAUCAACAAUGAACCAUGAUCAAUCUUUAUAUAAUUCCUUGAAUAGCACCUUGGUCAACACAUAAACUCCUUGAAACCAACAGAUGGACUUCAAGAAAUUCCCUAUGGACAAAUCCUUCAAUUAUAACUCAAGGCAACCAUUAGUCCAUAGAGUUUGUCAUCAAUUACCAAAACCAAACAUGGGGGCACCACAUGUUCUUUCAGUAUUCAAGGAGACAUUUGCGGUCCCAUUCAACGAUUAUCUGGACCUUUCAGGUACUUGAUGGUCUCAUUGACGCAUCUACAUGAUGGUCACAUGUGUGUCUUUUAUCCACAAGGAACCAUGCAUUUACCAAGAUAAUGAGGCAAGUCAUUAAGUGAUACGUCUCCAACGUAUCUAUAAUAUUUUAUUGUUCCAUGCUAUUAUAUUAUCUACUUUGGAUGUUUUAUAUGCAUUAAUAUGCUAUUUUAUAUCAAUUUUGGGACUAACCUAUUAACCUAGUGCCCAGUGCCAGUUUCUGUUUUUUCCCUUGUUUUUGUCAUUUACAGAAAAUCAAUAUCAAACGGAGUCCAAAUGGAAUAAAACUUUACGGUGAUUUUUCUUGGACCAGAAGACAUCCACGAAGCUUCAGGAAGAGGCUAGGAGACCCACGAGCCGGUCACAAGCCACAAGGGCGCGCCCUAGGGGGGCACGCUCCUAGGGAAUUGUGGGCCCCUCGUGGCUCUUCUAACCCUAACUCCAGCUCUAUAAAUACCCAAAUAUUACCCCUACGAUAGAGGGCACACCAAAUAUACUUUUCCACCACCGCAAGCUUCUGUCUUCGUGAGAUCCCAUCUUGGGACCUUUUCCGGUACUCCGCCGGAGUGGGAUUCGAUCACGGAGGGCAUCUACAUCAACCUUGCUGACCUACCGAUGAUGUGUGAGUAGUUUACCACAGACCUACGGGUCCAUAGCUAGUAGCUAGAUGUCUUCGUCUCUCUCUUUGAUCUUCAAUACAAUGUUCUCCUUAAUGUUCUUGGAGGUCUAUUCGAUGUAAUCUUAUUUUGCGGGGCAUUUGUUGAGAUCCGAUGAAUUGUGGAUUUAUGAUCAGAUUAUCUAUGAAUAUUAUUUGAGUCUUCUUUGAACUCUUUUAUGCAUGAUUAAGAUAGCUUUGUAUUUCUCUCCAUCUAUCGAUUUGGUUUGGCCAACUGAAAGUGCUAGUUAUCGACUAGAGGGGGGGUGAAUAGGCGAUUUUUUAUGGAAGUCUUCAAAACACGGGGGCUUUGAAGACAAACAGUAGAAAUGAACCUAUUGAUAUGCAGCGGAAGGUAGACUACACUAGACAAGCCAUAGUCAAGUAAGCAAUGAAGUGAGAGCACGAAGACUAUCAGCAGCUAGGUAGGAUGGAUCAGGAUGCAAGAUAGUAUGAAGCCAAACAAUAAACAGUCUUCACACAGUGAAGACUUACAGAUCAUGCAAGCAGGUAAUGACUUCACGAAGACAAACUAUAAGUAAAGGGAAGGGAAGGAUAGAACCAGUUGCUUGGUGAGGACAAGGAUUUGGUAGACCAGUUCCAGUUGCUGUGACAACUGUACGUCUGGUUAGGGACGCUGAGAUUUAACUCAGAAGACCGCGUCUUCACCUUAUUCCCCUUGAGCUAAGAACACUUAGUCCUCGCACAAUCACUCUGGUAAGUCUUAUAGGUAGACUUUCGAACCUUCACAGACUUCGUUCACUGGCAAUCCAUAAUGGCUCUUGGAUUCUCAGAACACAACGCCUAACCGGCUGGAGGAUUCACAGUCCUCAAGUGUAACAAGUCUUCAGAUCACGCGGACAGAAAGACUUCAAUGAUGCCUAACACUCUUUGGCUCUAGGUGUUUUGGGCUUUUUCCUCACAAGGAUCUCCCUCUCUCAAAUGCUUCGGAGGUGGGUUGCUCUCAAACGACAAAAGCCGUGCACUAACUCUGAGCAGCCACCAAUUUAUGGUGUAGGGGGCGGGCUAUUUAUAGCCAGGAGGCAACCCGACCUGAUUUGUCCGAAAUGACCCUGGGUCACUAAGGAACUGACACGUGUCCAAUGGUCAGAUUUCAAACACACGCGGCAGCUUGACUUGGGCUACAAGUAAAGUUGACUCAUCCAGCUCUGGAUAAGAUUUGCUCUCAUUGUCUUCGCUCGAAGACAUAGGAUUUGGUUGAGCAUCACAUCAGUCACUGUGACUUUGUUCACUUGGACCCCACUUAAUAGUACGGUGGUUCCUAUGACUCAACAAAGAAGAAAAGGAAACUACGAAACAACUAUGUCUUCGUAUUCCAUAGUCUUCAUGUGAAUGUCUUCUCAUGUCAUAAUCUUCACUGUGAAUUUCUUCACAGACCACCAUUGUCUUCAAUGUCUUCACACAUUUUAGGGGUCAUCUCUGGUAGAUAAACCGAAUCAAUAAGGGACUACUACCUGUGUUAUCCUGCAAUUCUCACAAACACAUUAGUCCCUCAACCAAGUUUGUCAUCAAUACUCCAAAACCAACUAGGGGUGGCACUAGAUGCACUUACAAUCUCCCCCUUUUUUGGUGAUUGGUGACAAACUGGUUGAAGUUUUCAACGGGGAUAAAAGUAUGUGAAAGUUAAGAAUUAAGGUAUUAUCUUCAUAAGUAGCAAAAGGCUCCCCCUGAAGAUGUGCAUAUAAGUAGUUUGCCUUUGAAUGCAAAUGCACAUGGCAGGUUUUACUUUGUGGAGAUCCUCUUCAACUUAUGAAGACAGUUCAUCGUGCAUAUAAACAUAUAAUGACGAUAAUGACAUGCACAAUGAAAAAUGGACGUCUGCAGAAUGUCUUCAUGCGGAAUUUAUCAUCGCAUCACAAGGUAGCAGAAAAAGUAGCAGACGACCAUCGAGUUUAAGUGUUACAACUCAAAGAACCAAAUGUUUCAAAAGACGAGAGUUUUAAAGACUUAGCAAAAAUAAUGCAACCACCCAUAUGGACCCGCUUGAAGACUAUCAACUCAUAAGCUUCUCCCCUUUUGUCAGUAAUGACCAAAAAGGUUUGAAGACAUAGAGUAUCUACUCGUUCCCAGUGGGAGUAGAUGAUGGAGCAGGGUCGAUGUUGGAAUUAGGUGGUGCAGACGGGCCUGACGCAGUGUCGAGAUGCAGGGCAGCCAUGGUCGGUGAAGUGGCGUCGUCUUCUUCAUCGACUACUCUCGCAACAACUGUUGCAGCCGAAGACGAAUGUUCAGAGUCUUCAAUAGACGGCGUGCGACGCCAGCUUGCAUUUUGUGUAGCCCUUGAAUCAAACUUGAAAUUCUCUGUGAAGCCAUCUUCGUGAAGAUCGUCUUCAGGACAGAGCAUUGUGAGACUCUUCCAGGACCGCCGACAUGCUUCAUGGGCAACAAACGAGUCCUUGGUGGCCAAGUUUCGAAUGCGAUUGACAUCCACCAAGAUACUCAGCAUCUGACGCUUCAGCCAGUCAUGAUGCUUAUCCUGCUUCUGAUGUAAUGCCACAAGAAGCUCUCGGUCAUUGAGUACACGAGAACGCUUCCGAGGCCUUUGGGCAACCGUACUUGCAGUGGCUUCGGUGUUGGCACGAUGUGGCACUCUCAUAUUUCCAGCCAGAGGAUAAGCGGGGGUUGCAGCAUUGGGGACAAGAAUUCCUUCGAUUGGUUGCGUGAAGCUUUGGUGUUCAGCAUUCUGAAGAUGUAGAGGCUUCUUGGCAGGUUCUGGGUAGAUGGCUUCAAUGGACAGAUCAACCUCAGGCAGAAAAACAAUGUGGUUGCGUGCUGAGGGCUGAUAGUCAAUAGUGGAGUGGAGCUUGAUCAGUCGCAUCACCCAUGGAGCAUAGAACUUUAGGCCAAAUAGAUCAAUCCCAGAAGCAGCUAGUUGUCUGAUGAAGAAAUCCUGGGUGUUGAAUAUGAUGCCAUUGAUGAUAUAAAAUACCAAAGUCUUCAUUGCUCCUUCAAGUUUAGCUUCAGAAGAGAUGUCCCUUGAUCGGCCAUAGAGUACGCCUCAAAAUGUGGUAUACUGUGCGUCGCAAGUACUCGAGGUCCUUUACAAAUAAUUCCUUUGGGUAUUCUGCAUCUUGAGGCAAUGGCUUCAUCAUACUAAGCAUCUGACUCAUGUUUGAUUUGGGGCUCUGAAAGAUACUCUGCAGUUCAUCUCUAUGACGCUGACAACCAAGCUCGUAUAACUCACCUGGAGUGGGCAGGGAAGUAAGCUCGAUAAUGUCUUGAGCUUUCGCUUCGUGAUGUACAUCACCUGACAUCCACUCAAGGAUCCAUGUCUUCGGAUCCCUGUUGUAGCCGCGAAUAUGAAGUGUGGCAUAGAACUGCAGCAGAAGCUCUUCAUUCUAGUGCUCUUUGUCUGCCACAAACGGCAGAAGACCAACAUCCCUAAAGCAGUCAAGAGCUUCUUCAAAACAGGGGAGCCCAGCUAUAGCUUCACAAUCUAGACGCAUGUGUGGAAAGAUCCGCUCUUGAUUGUACAGAAUGCAGGAGUAGUAGCUUCGCUGCUGAUGACUCCAAAAUCUAUCUGAAGAGAUCUUAGGCUUCGUGUAAGGAUUCUUGGCACUGUCAAAGAAAGUGUUGUGCUCUCUCAAGCUGAGCACGCUAAAAGAACCCUGUGUCGUUGGAGCACUUGGAAGCCUUGGUAGCAUAGGCUUGGGCUUAUGAACUUGAGGCCUCUGCUCCACAUGGUAAUCAUAUUGAGGUCCGAGAGUAGUGGGUGGAACCAUAACUGGCCAUCUGACUGUGACUAGCUGUCCUUCACGAUUGAAUGCUUGUUCAAUGGUGUGCGGCCUUGGAGGAGGAACAUCAUCACUAGAGCUGAUUGGUGGGACAAUGGUGUCAGUGGCAGCAUUGUCAUCAGGCUCCACAUUGUCUCCAGCCAUGACUGUGUCAUUGGCUUCAGUGGCGUUGUUGGUGGCAGCCUCAGUGUUUUCAACCUCCAUUUGUUCAAGGACAGGAGGGUCGGGCACAAACACAUUCUCCUUGAGAAUGACUUGAUCACUUGCUGGGGGUGUGUCAACUCUUUCUUCUUCUCUUUCUUCAUCGGCUGAUGCAGCCGGAAUGUCUUCGGCGACUUUGGCUUCAGACUCAGAGGCAUUCGCAGUAGGGGUGGCUUCAGGAAAUACUUGACGUGCGACUGAGCUUUGGUGCACUUCCCCUUAUGGAAUGCUCGACAUGGUGACCUGUGGCCUGGGGCCUUUGCGAAGCCUGCGAAAUACGGACAACGCCUUUGGUGAAGGAGUGGUCUGUACCAUGUAACUGUCAUUGUCAAGCACCGGAGUGGUGGCUUGAGGUGGUGGAGUUCUGGGUGUCUCAUCAUGUACUGGGGUGUCUAGCUUGCUAUUGGCGCUCGGCCCAUGAGUCAUCCUGAGCGAUUGGCGUCAAUGGACGACCAAUGCUGAUAAUUUCACUGCUUGUUGGAGCAGGCGAUGAUACCGACUGGGGCUCGAGCUCAGGAAGGACUACAUCAUCAUCAACAUUGUCUUCACGACCAAUGUCUUCAGCUGAGUUGAGGUCAGCAGCUGGAAUUUGUUCAUCUUCUGGAGCCUCUUUGGAAGCAGGCUCAUGGAUCACAAGACGACGCUCAUGGUUGGUUGAGGCAGGAAGGGCAACAGAAAUGGGUUCAACAAUGAGGGGCUCAGUGGCUGUAGCACGCUCUUUCUUUGAAGACUUUGUCUUCAAUUUCUUCUUGGAUGGGGCAUCAUCAGAAGUAUCCUUGUGCUUGUGUUUCCUGGCUUCGGCUUCAGCUGCCCUCGUUUUCUUCAGCUCUGAAGCUGCUGAGGUGACCUUAGGCUUCGAGCCAGUCAUACUGGUAGGGAAGACAAUGUGAGGUUCUUCCUGCCUUGGUGUUUCAGUUUGGGCCGCAGCAGGCUUCUUCUUUUGCUUGGCAGCCAUCCUGGGGUCGAUGCCAGGACGCCCAAGAGCUUUUCUCUUCUCAGCUUCAUUAUGUGCUUGAACACAUUUCUGCGCAAAGUACUUCAUGCAUUCCCGUGAGCCUUUUGCUUCUUCACGCUUCUUGUGGAAUUGUUCCUUAAGAUCAUGCAGCAUCUUCUUGAAGAUCUGCACAUCAGCCACACUGAGCUUGGCCAUAUUCUUCUUGAAAUGCGCCUUCUCAUAAUCAAUCUUGUUUUUGAGCUCGACGAUUUUCUGAGCCAAGGCCAACUCAUUAGCAAUGGCUCUGUGAAACGUGACGCUUAUGUCCACAGGCAGCUGAAGAUCAUCAAUACUGAUGCUCUGGUCACCAAACGACUCAUCGAUGAAGUUGUUCAGAAUAUCAACAUCAAAGAGGGGUAGAUCAUUGAAGAUUUCUGCCUCUUGCUUGCUCUUGAUCAGCAUCUCAAGUGCUUCAUCACCAAGAUCUUCAUCACUAGACAGAUCAAUGGUGUCUUCCUCGUUGCGCAGAACGGCAGCAGGAGUCAGUUCAUGCCCAGAGAUCUUCUUGGGCUUCUCCGUCUUCUUCGUCCUCUUGGAGACACGAGACAAGUCUUUAGACUGCACACUGGGUUCAGGAGGUGCAGUCUUCAAUGGCUUCACAGUCAAAGCUUUUGGUGCGGCAGAGGGCUUCAAAGCUUUUGAUUUCUUCUUCUUCUGCUUCGGUGGUGCUGGCGCAUCUUCAGAGUCUGCGUCAUCAGCGGAGUGAUCCACUGUAUCCCUCUGAGCAGCAAUGUGAGAGAGGAGCCCGUUGAAGCUGUUGAAGGGGCCGAUGACAUUGGGAUUAGCUUCACGUGCGCCAUCCAGCCUUGGAGAAGAUGGACCAGGGUUGAAGUUGAGUCCAAGAUCCCUCUUGCUCUUUGCAGCUGACUCUUUUGCAAACUGAUAAUUGCGCUUGAAAAGAUUGUCUUUGCGACACCAUAACAUGGAUGAUGGGUCGGCAUUCUCAAGCUUCGGUCCUCGGACCAUGCAUGGGUAGAAACCUUGGGCGAUAGCUUCAGGCUUCAAUUUUGGCUGCAGAUUCUUGUACAGAAUAUCGCCCCAUGGGCGCUUGAUGGCAUUCUUCUCAGCAUAUUCAGCAGUGACAAAGUUGUACUUGAACCACUGUUCUACCCAAUAUCUUCGAAUCCAUUGGAUUCGGGUCUUGCGCUGAUUGUAAUUUUCUUCAGGAUCAGUUUUGUACAUUUCAUACAGAUCCGGAGGCAGAUCUAGAGCUGUGUUGCCUCUGUGCUGCCUGCCACCUUUCCUAGCAGACUUUUCUGUGGCCAUGAUAUUCAAGCAGAUAGGCUUCAGAACAGCGAAAGGCUUCCGUCUACUGGUCAGACAAGAACUUGCUUCAGGGGAGUGAAUAUGAUGUUGUAAGAACUCUGCAAAUGAAUGCAGACUAUGAGAACCAAGGGAUUCUCCCACGGACAUGUACAUGUGACAGCAUUAGAGGUGCGAGGGAAGGGGAAGAGGUCAUAUGCAUUCUCAGAAGAUUUUGAAGAUAAAUCAGUUUGAAGACAUUAACCUCAUAAAGCGAAGACAUUCACUUAUUUGAAGAGAGUUGGUUCCAGAUUUGUACGAAUCCAUGAAUAAGUACAAGUGAGGAAUCUAACUAGUUAUGAAGAAUAAGUGAAUACCUUUAGCAUGAUAUGAGAUGCAGACAGAGACAGAUCCAGAUUUGAAAGUGUAGAAACCACUUUUGGUUGAAGUGGAUGGAUUUGACGGAUCAAAAAGACAGUAAAAAGUGAGAUUUAAUUACCGCUGACGAACUGCUGGACAAGGCAAAGUUAGAAGCCGAGAAGUUCAAUCUCCCGCGCCCUAACUUGGCGGCGGAAGACACCUACGGCGGCGGCGGAGAGGACGAGGUCCACGGCCGGCGUCGAAGAAAUCGCGGCAGCUAAGCGCUUCGUCUCCGGCGUCGACGCGAACUAGCGGAGGCGCUAGGGUUUGAGCGAGGUGGCGAGGUGGAAGAAGAGAUAAUGACCGCGGGGUGUGUGUAUUUAUAAGGAAAGGGACUGCACAACGUAAUUACGCAGGUGCCCCUGGCGGUUCACAUCUGAAGGACACGUGGCCUCCAUGCAACUUAUUGGAAGUUGUUCCAUGUUCCCACGCACGCCUGGAUUGUCGGGUGGUCGUCCCGGCUUCUCCGGUAUUCAGGCACAAGGGAUAUAGCAUUAAAACAGAUUUAAAUGUUUGUCUCUGUGUCUUCUUCUGACAAGGACUCAGUGAAGACAUUUGACAGGUUUCAACAGAAUGCAUAUAACUUGGAUAGAUAGAAUUUGAGGAAGAAGCACAGAAGGGGUUAGGGUCCGAUCACAUUCACUUAGAUCAGAAAAAUUCAGGUAUGAAGACAUAGCUAUAAGUGAAUGUUGUAGAGGACAGAACACGCAUAUAUAUAUAUAUAUAUAUAUAUAUAUAUAUAUAUAUAUAUAUAUCAGUCUAAGACCAACUCAACAUUGCGAAGAUAAACCAUGAGGUCAAAUCAAUGUUUGAAUACAAACCAAAUGCAAAGAUUAUGCAAUCAUGACGCCAAAUGAAACACUUCAAGAAGAUUUUGGUGGUGGCGUUACCCACCAUAUAGGAAGUAUUAGACCUAGACACGGCGCACAAUUAUCGUGGCGCUCCGAAGUCAAAUUCCGCGUUAAUGUAUUCACACUUAGAGUGUAUGUCUUCAUUGAUUGAAGAUAUACAUUACUUCGUGUGUUGCACAUCUAAGUCAUCAACAUGCAUAAGCGUUAGGAUGUGUGUCCAAUUACAGGACAUUUGAGGAUUCUAGGAUAUUUAGCUCACACCGCAACUUGCAAAACCUUUUCUCAUCCAAGGGCUUUGUGAAGAUAUCUGCCAAUUGCUCUUCAGUGUUGACGUGAAUGAUAUCAAUAUCUUCCUUCAUGACAUGAUCUCUGAGAAAGUGAUGAUGGAUCUGAAUGUGCUUUGUCUUCGAGUGCUGAACAGGGUUGUUGGCAAUCUUGAUGGCGCUUUCAUUAUCACAGUAGAGUGGAACUUGCUUCAGGUGGAUGCCAUAGUCCUUGAGAGUUUGCUUCAUCCAUAGAAGCUGAGCGCAGCAAGAUCCAGCAGCAAUGUAUUCAGAUUCAGAAGUGGAGAGGGAUACACAGUUCUGCUUCUUUGAAGACCAACAGACAAGCGAUCGUCCAAGAAAGUGACAUGUGCCUGAUGUGGACUUGCGAUCAACCUUGUCACCAGCAUAAUCAGCAUCUGAGAAUCCAACUAGAUCAAACUCUGAACCCUUGGGAUACCAUAAUCCUAGAGUUGGGGUGUAAGCCAAAUAUCGAAGAAUUCGCUUCACUGCUAGGUGAUGCGAUUCCUUUGAUGCCGCUUGGAAUCGGGCAUACAUGCAAACACUAAGCAUUAUAUCUGGCCUAGAUGCACAUAAAUAGAGUAAAGAGCCAAUCAUGGAGCGGUAUACCUUUUGAUCAAAUUCUUUACCAUUGUCGUCGGGGCCAAGAUGACUUUUGGUUGGCAUUGGCGUCGUGUAUCCUUUGCAGUCUUGCAUUCCAAACUUCUUCAAGCAAUCGUUGAGGUAUUUCUCUUGUGAUAUGAAGAUGCCGUUGCUCUGCUGACGGAUUUGAAGACCGAGGAAGAAUUUCAGCUCAACCAUCAUGGACAUCUGAUAUUGCUCUUGCAUCAUGUACCCAAACUCAUCACUGUAUCUAUUGUCAGUGCAGCCAAAGAUAAUGUCAUCCACGUAGAUUUGGCAUACAAACAGUUCACCGUCAUAUGUCUUCGUGAAGAGUGUGGGAUCCAGGGAACCAUGUUUGAAGCCUUUGCUCUUCAGGAAAUCUUUGAGCGUCUCAUACCGAGCGCGAGGGGCUUGUUUGAGGCCAUACAGUGCCUUGUUGAGCUUGUAUACCAUGUUAGGAUGCUUUGCGUCUUCAAAACCAGGUGGUUGUCCAGCAUACACUUCUUCUUCAAUUUGCCAUUGAGAAAGGCACUCUUUACAUCCAUUUGGUAAAGAAGGAUGUUGUGAUGGUUGGCAUAGGCUAGCAGUAUGUGAAUGGCUUCAAUCCUAGCCACCGGAGCAAAUGUUUCAUCGAAGUCAAUCCCUUCUACUUGAGUGUAACCUUGAGCAACGAGUCGAGCCUUGUUUCUGACGACUUGACCAUGCUCAUCUUGUUUGUUGCGAUAGAUCCAUUUGGUGCCUAUGAUGUUGUGCUUGCGAGGAUCAGGACGCUUUACUAGUUCCCAAACAUUGUUCAGCUCGAACUGUUGAAGCUCUUCUUGCAUAGCUUGAAUCCAUUCAGGUUCCAUGAAGGCUUCAUCAACUUUCUUGGGUUUAGAUAUAGAGACAAAUGCAAAGUGCCCACAGAAAUUUGCUAGUUGUGUUGCUCUUGAACGAGUGAGUGGACCAGGUGCAUUGAUGCUAUCGAUUAUCUUCUCAAUAUGUACUUCAUUUGCAACACGAGGAUGAACUAGACGAAGAUUUUGCUCUUGCUGAUCAUUGUCUUUGUUUUCAGCAUUGACUUCAGGCUGAGCAGUGUCUUCGGGUUGAUUAGGUGCAGAAAUGAUGAUUUCUUCUUCAGCCUGUGCCUCUGAAGGUAUGAUCUCUCCAGUACCCAUAAGCUUGAUAGAUUCACUUGGUGAGGCUUCAUCUAGCACAUUUUGCAUGUGCUCUCUUUGCGAGCUGUUAGUCUCAUCGAAUCAUACAUCCAUAGUUUCAACCACUUUAUAGUGAAAGAGGUUGAAGACUCUGUAGGAGUGUGAAUCCUUUCCGUAGCCAAGCAUAAAACCUUCAUUUGCUUUCGGUGCAAAAUUUGAAGUGUGAUGUGGAUCCUUGAUCCAGCACCUAGCACCAAAUACUCUGAAGUAACUGACGUUUGGCUUCUUACCAGUUAGGAGCUCAUAGGAUGUCUUCUUGAGAAGCUUGUGAAGAUAAACACGGUUGAUGACAUGGCAUGCAGUAUCAAUGGCUUCAGGCCAAAACUUUCUUGGUGUCUUUACUCAUCAAGCAUCGUCCGUGCCAUCUCAAUGAGGGUUCUGUUCUUGCGCUCCACGACGCCAUUCUGCUGAGGUGUGUAAGGAGCUACGAACUCAUGUGUGAUGCCCAAUGUAUCAAGAUAAGUGUUGAGGCUGGUGUUCUUGAAUUAUGUGCCGUUGUCACUUCUGAUAUGCUUGAUCUUGAUGCCACAGUUGGUCAUGGCACGAUUGGCGAAUCGCCUGAAGACAUCCUGCACUUCAUUCUUGUAGAGAAUUAUGUGCACCCAUGUAUAUCUAAAGUAAUCAUCAAUAAUGAUGAAACCAUAGAGACAAGCAGUGGUAGUGGGGGUAGCGUAGUGAGUAGGGCCAAAUAAUUCCAUGUGAAGCAGCUCGAAGGGACGAGUUGUCGUCAUGAUUGUUUUCGAGGGAUGCUUGGCCCUAGUCAUCUUUCCAGCUUCGCAGGCACCACAUAGAUGAUCCUUCUUGAACUUGACGCCCUCGAUGCCUACGACAUGCUUCUUCUUCGUGAGAGUGUACAAUUUCCUCAUGCCAGCAUGCCCUAGCCUUCGAUGCCAGAGCCAGCACUCUGAAGCUUUUGCUAGAAGACAUACGGCCAAUUGUGGUCCUGCUGAGAAAUCUACCAUAUAUAGAUCGUCUUUUCGAUACCCUUCAAAGACUAGAGAUUUGUCAAAUUCCAUAAGCACAAGGCAACGAUAUUUUCCAAAUAUCACAAUCAUGUUCGGAUCACAAAGCAUUGAGACAGACAUUAAGUUGAAACCAAGGGAUCCAACAAGCAUCACUUUAUCCAUGUGCUGAUCCUUUGAGAUUGCAACUCUACCUAGACCCAAUACCUUGCUUUUACCGGUGUCAGCAAAUGUGAUGUGACUCUUGUCAGAUGGACGUAGGGUUGAGUCCAUAAGAAGACUUCGAUCACCAGUCAUGUGGUUAGUGCAUCCACUGUCCAUAAUCCAUUCUGAAGCCUUUGGUGUCAUACCCUACAGUGCAGUUUGGGGGAUAGGCUUCACCAAGGGUAUUGUGAAGCAUAAACAUUUAACGAACAAGCGGAUUAUUAAAGUUCAGAUCUUUGUUAGGAUAAAUAGGAUGUUUGUCAAGGAAUCCUGGGACAAAAUACAUAGUAAGACCAUUUUGACAUUUUAUCUUGCGCCCCACAAGAUGUUUUAGGUCCCCAGCAUAAGCAUCAGAAGCCUUUGAUUUCCGGCUGGAGACCUUUCCCUGCAUAAGAGAGUUAUUUUUUCUUAACCACCCACAUCUUCAGGGGUGGCUUAGAAGCAAUGAGUCUAAGUGCAGCAUCUGAGAACUUCGGCUUUGGAGCCCUAGCAAAUAGCCUUGCAGGAGGUGAAUAAUACUCAUAAGAAUAAGCAGAAAAGUUCUUGGUCUUAUGAACAUAGCGGUUUGACGAAACACGCUCAUAUUCAUAAGUCUGGGUAUGGUUUCCCUGCAAAACAUUGGCGUUAGGGUGACUCUGGUGAGUCCUCUGUCUGUAUGAAGCCUUUGGACCAUAUGAAGCCUUUGGUCUGGGGUUUGUCUUCUUCCCAGGUGGUGUCAUGAUGACAUUCACAGGAAGUUUCUCAAGACAACUUUUGGGCACCCAGAUCUUCUUGAAAGGUGGUCCAUUCCUGCAGUUAGUACCAAUAUACCUGGCAAACACUUCACCAUUCUGAUUCUUAAACAGUUUAUAGUUUGCAUCAAAGGAUUCAUCAAUGAUAAUCGGGUUAGCACAAGUGAAGCCAGAUAAGGUAGACGGAUCCACUGAAGGUCCCUUUGCAGCAACCCAUGUUGUUUUGGGGUACUACUCAGGCAUCCAGUAGGAACCAUCAACAUUCAUUUUCCUCUUGAACUCAACACCCUCUUUCCUAGGGUUUCGGUUCAGAAUCUAUUUCUUGAGGACAUCACAUAGUGUCUGAUGCCCUUUGAGACUUUUGUACAUCCCUGUUUCAAGCAAUGUCUUCAACUUGGCAUUCUCAUCAGCAAUAGUGGUGGUAUCCUCAGCAGGGGGGUUAGUUACCACAUCACCAGUUGAAGAUAUUGCAACAGUGGCAGCAGUAGAGCAUUCAGCAACAGAGACAGCAUUAUCACGCUCAAGACAUUUUAGGCAUGGUGGAUCAAAACCUUCCUGAGCGGAACUGAUCUGUUGAGCGCAGAGUGACUCGUUCUCUUUUUGAAGAUCUUCAUGAGACGCUCUCAGGUUCUCAAGUUCUUGCUUCCUUUGAAGAUAAUCAUAGGAAAGCUUCUCAUGAGUAGCUGAGAGAGUUUCAUGACAACUUUCAAGUUCCUCGUACUUAACAUGAAGAUUUUUUAUGUCUUCAAUUAAGGACUGAGUUCGGGCCAUUUCCACGUCCAACAGGUCAUCGCUUUUGUCUAGCAACUUUUGAAUAUGUUCCAUAGCAGUUUGUUGUUCAGUUGCAAUUUUAGCAAGUGUUUUGUAGCUAGGUUUAGAUUCACAUUGAGAGUCAUCUUCACUUGAUGUUUGAAAGUAAGCAUCGCGUGAGUUUACCUUGGCACCACGUGCCAUGAAGCAGUAGGUGGGAGCAGAGUCAUCCUCAUCAUUAGCAUCAUCGUUGGUGACGAGGCCAUUGUCUUCAGUGUUGAAGAUGGACUUGGCGACAUAGGCUGAAGCUAGAGCCAGGCUUGCCACGCCUGAAUCGGAUUCCUCCUCAAAUUCCACCUUCGCCUCCUUAGAAGCAGACUCCUCCUCUGAAUCCAUCUCCUUGCCAAAAAAAUCCACGGGCCUUGCUGGAUGAGCUCUUCUUGUGAGAUGAAGACUUGGAUGAAGACUUUGAAGAAGACUUUCAGGAUUUCUUCUUCUUGUCAUCAGAAUCAUAUUCCUUGCUCUUCUUCUUCUUCUUGGUCUCAUUGUCCCACUGUGGACACUCAGAGAUGUAGUGACCAGGUUUCUUGCAUUUGUGACAUGUUCUCUUCUUGUGGCCACGAGAGGAAGCUUCAUCAUUUCUUGAGCUAGUCUUGAAGACUUUCUGAAGUCUUUCUUCUUGGUGAACUUCUGGAACUUCUUCACAAGCAUAGCAAACUCCUUUCCAAUGUCUUCAGGAUCCCCAGAACUACAGUCAGAUUCUUCUUCAGAUGAGGAAACAACCUUUGCCUUCAAAGCACGAGUUCGGCCAUAGUUGGGGCCAUAGAUGUCUCUUUUCUCAGAUAACUGGAACUCAUGUGUGUUGAGCCUCUCGAGUAUGUCAGACGGAUCGAGAUAUUUGAAGUCAGGACAUUCUUGAAUCAUAAAGGCCAUGGUGUCGAAUGAGCUGUCAAGUGAUCUCAGAAGCUUCUUGACGAUUUCGUGCUUGGUGAUCUCAGUGGCGCCAAGUGCGCGAAGCUCAUUUGUGAUAUCAGUGAGGCGAUCAAACGUGAGCUGGACAUUCUCAUUGUCGUUUCUCUUGAAGAGGUUGAAGAGGUUGCGAAGAACAUCAAUCCUUGAGUCUCUCUGAGUUGAGACGCCUUCGUUGACCUUGUAGAGCCAGUCCCAGACUAGCUUCACAGUUUCCAGUGCACUCACACGGCCAUACUGUCCUUUGGUCAGAUGACCACAGAUGAUGUUCUUGGCGGUCGAGUCCAGUUGAAUGAACCUCUUGGCAUCAGCAGCGGUGACACCUUCACCAGCCUUGGGAACGCCGUUCUUGACGACAUACCAGAGGUCAACGUCAAUGGCUUCAAGAUGCAUACGCAUCUUAUUCUUCCAGUAGGGGUAAUCAGUGCCAUCGAAGACAAGGCACACAGCGGAGACCUUGAUUAUCCCUGCAGUCGACAUAGCUUAAACUCCAGGUGGUUAAACCGAAUCACACAGAACAAGGGAGCACCUUGCUCUGAUACCAAUUGAAAGUGCUAGUUAUCGACUAGAGGGGGUGAAUAGGCGAUUUUUAUGAAAGUCUUCAAAACACGGGGGCUUUGAAGACAAACAGUAGAAAUGAACCUAUUGAUAUGCAGCGGAAGGUAGACUACACUAGACAAGCCAUAGUCAAGUAAGCAAUGAAGUGAGAGCACGAAGACUAUCAGGAGCUAGGUAGUAUGGAUCAGGAUGGAAGAUAGUAUGAAGCCAAACAACAAACAGUCUUCACAUAGUGAAGACAAUCAGAUCAUGCAAGCAGGCAAUGACUUCACGAAGACAAACUGUAAGUAAAGGGAAGGGAAGGAUGGAACUAGUUGCUUGGUGAGGACAAGGAUUUGGUAGACCAGUUCCAGUUGCUGUGACAAUUGUACGUCUGGUUAGGGAGGCUGAGAUUUAACUUAGAAGACCGUGUCUUCACCUUAUUCCCCUUGAGCUAAGAACACUUAGUCCUCGCCCAAUCACUCUGGUAAGUCUUCAAGGUAGACUUUCGAACCUUCACAGACUUCGUUCACUGGCAAUCCACAAUGGCUCUUGGAUGCUCAGAAUGCGACGCCUAACCGGCUGGAGGAUUCACAGUCCUCAAGUGUAACAAGUCUUCAUAUCACGCGGACAGAAAGACUUCAGUGAUGCCUAACACUCUUUGGCUCUAGGUGUUUUGGGCUUUGUCCUCGCAAGGAUCUCUCUCUCAAAUGCUUCGGAGGUGGGUUGCUCUCAAACGACAAAAGCCGUGCACUAACUUGAGCAGCCACCAAUUUAUGGUGUAGGGGUGGGCUAUUUAUAGCCAGGAGGCAACCCGACCUGAUUUGUCCGAAAAUGACCCUGGGUCACUAAGGAACUGACACGUGUCCAAUGGUCAGAUUUCAAACACACGUGGGAGCUUGACUGGGCUACAAGUAAAGCUGACUCAUCCAGCUCUAGAUAAGAUUUGCUCUCAUUGUCUUCGCUCGAAGACAUAGGAUUUGGUUGAGCAUCACAUCAGUCACUCUGACUUUGUUCACUUGGACCCCACUUAACAGUACAAUGGUUCCUAUGACUCAACAAAGAAGAAAAGGAAACUAUGAAACAACUAUGUCUUCGUAUUCCAUAGUCUUCAUGUGAAUGUCUUCUCAUGUCAUAAUCUUCACUGUGAAUAUCUUCACAGACCACCAUUGUCUUCAAUGUCUUCACACAUUUUUAGGGGUCAUCUCUGGUAGGUAAACCGAAUCAAUAAGGGACUACUACCUGUGUUAUCCUGCAAUUCUCACAAACACAUUAGUCCCUCAACCAAGUUUAUCGUCAAUACUCCAAAACCAACUAGGUGUGGCACUAGAUGCACUUACACCAACUAGAUUGGUUUUACUUGCAAUGGGAGAGGUGCUUUGUGAUGGGUUCAAUCUUGCGGUGUCCUCACCCAGUGACAGAAAGGGUAGCGAGGCACGUAUUGUAUUGUUGCCAUUAAGAAUAAAAAGAUGGGUUUUAUAUCAUAUUGCUUGAGUUUAUCCCUCUACAUCAUGUCAUCUUGCUUCGUUGCUCUGUUCUUAUGAACUUAAUACACUAGAUGCAAGCAGCAGUCGGUCGAUGUGUGCAGUAAUAGUAGUAGAUGCAGAAUCGUUUCAGUCUACUUGUCAUGGACGUGAUGCCUAUAUUCAUGAUCAUUGCCUUAGAUAUCGUCAUAACUUUGCGCUUUUCUAUCAAUUGCUCAACAGUAAUUUGUUUACCCAACGUAUGCUUUCUUCGAGAGAGAAGCCUCUAGUGAAACCUAUGGCCCCCGGGUCUAUUCCUUAUCAUAUAUUUUCAGAUCUAUAAAACCAAAAACCCAAAAAUACCUUGCUACAAUUUAUUUGUGUUUACUUUAUUUUAACUUUUAUUUAUAUUUUAAAUCUAUCUCUAUUAGAUCCUCUUGCUAGUGACCGUGAAGGGAUUGAAAACCCCAUUUUCACGUUGUGUGCAAGUGUUUGUUAGUUUGUGCAGGUGCAUCUAUUGGGUACUUGCUUGUGCCUUCUACUGGAUCGAUACCUUGGUUCUUAACUGAGGGAAAUACUUAUCUCUACUUUGCUGCAUCACCCUUUCCUCUUCAAGGGAAGAAUCAACGCAAGCUCGAGAAGUAGCACUAAGUUGAAAGCCCAUUAUCCAGAAAGUCGAAUUAAGUCAAUUGGAAUGGACAAUGCCGCAGAAUUCUCCUCACGUGCUUUCAAAGAUUAUUGCAUGACUUUGGGGAUUGAAGGUUAUCACUUUGUUUCAUAUGUCCAUAUGCAAAAUGGUUUGGCUGAAUCAUUGCUUAAGAGGAUCAAACUCAUUGCAAGACCAUUGUUGAUGAAUUGCAACUUGCCAACCUCUUGUUGGGGUCACGCCGUUUUACACGCUGCUGACUUGAUACAAUUGAGGCCAACUGCAUAUCACAGUACUCACCCUCUACAAUUGGUACGUGGAAAUCCUCCUAGUAUUUCCCAUCUACGUAAGUUCAGAUGUGUUGUAUACAUCCCGAUCUCACCACCACAACGGACAUCUAUGGGCCCACACAGGAAACAGGGGAUCUAUGUGGGGUACAAAUCGCGGUCGAUUAUCAAGUACCUGGAACCCCUUACUGGGAUCUGUUCACAAUCUGUCAUGUUGAUUGCAUAUUUAAUGAGGGGCAUUUUUCGGCAUUAGGGGGAGAUUUCAAGUACCAGAAAGAAUGUCCGGAACUUGAUUGGAAUGCUCAAGUCAUUUCAUCCUGUGAUCCAUGUACCCAAGAGACCGAACUCCAAGUUUGGAAAAUCAUUAAUUUGCAACGUCUUGCAAAUAAUCUGCCAGAUUCAUUUACUGGUCUAACAGGUGUUACAAAAUCCUUAAAUCCGGCCAGAAAUGCGCCUGAAAGAGUGGAGGUACCAAUAAAAACCAUUCAACUCCCUAUUCCUAAAAAGAGGGGGAGUAGUACGACCUCUGACCUGGAGCAUGCUUCUAGCAAGCAGCAAAGAAAAUCGAGGAGAAAAACCUCGGAGUCAGUAAAUGCAAGUCAACUCAACAUUGACAAACACCUGAUGGGUAGUAUACACCCAGUGGAAGGGCAACCUCCACAACCCAGCUUCAGUUUGCACACACUGGCUGGGACAUCGGAACACCCGGACUCAUGCAUAUUGGGAAAUCACGAAGAGUCACUAGGGGUGCAGGAAAUUUCCGUCAACUAUGUUGAUUCUGGAGAAUCAUUUGACCGUAAGACUAAGAGUGUCGACAUAUACUUUGCUGAAAAGAUUGCAGAUACCCUUCCCACUGAUCAUGAUCCAAGUACUAUCGUUUAGUGCCAAAAGCGCUCCGUGGCCGCUGUUGGGGAACGUAGCAAAAAUUCAAAAUUUUCUACGCAUCACCAAGAUCAAUCUAUGGAGUAAUCUAGCAACGAGGGGAAGGGGAGUGCAUCUACAUACCAUUGUAGAUCGCGAUGCGGAAGUGUUGCAAGAACGCGGAUGAAGGAGUCGUACUCGUAGCGAUUCAGAUCGCGGUUGAUUCCGAUCUAAGCACCGAAGAACGGUGCCUCCGCGUUCAACACACGUGCAGCCCGGUGACGUCUCCCACGCCUUGAUCCAGCAAGGAGGGAGGGAGAGGUUGGGGAAGACUCCAUCCAGCAGUAGCACGACGGCGUGGUGGUGGUGGAGGAGCGUGGCAAUCCCGCAGGGCUUCGCCAAGCACCGCGGGAGAGGAGGAGGAGGAAGAGGGGUAGGGCUGCGCCGAAAGAGAGACGUUCUCAUGUCUGUAUGGCAGCCCCAAACCUCAAGUAUAUAUAGGGGAGGGGGAGGGCUGCGCCCCCAUCUAGGGUUCCCCCCCCCCAAGGGGUGCGGCCAGCCCUAGAUGGGGCUUGGGGGGCGGCCAAAGGAGGGGAGAGAGGGGGCGCCCCACUAGAUGGGCCUUAGGCCCAUCUGAGACUAGGGUUUCCCCCCUUCCCCCUUUCCUGCGCCCUGGACCUCUUGUGGGGGGGCGCACCAGCCCACCGGGGGCUGGUCCCCUCCCACACUUGGCCCAUGCAGCCCUCUGGGGCUGGUGGCCCCACUUGGUGGACCCCCGGGACCCUCCCGGUGGUCCCGGUACAUUACCGAUAUCACCCGAAACUUUUCCGGUGACCAAAACAGGACUUCCCAUAUAUAAAUCUUUACCUCCAGACCAUUCCGAAACUCCUCGUGAUGUCCGGGAUCUCAUCCGGGACUCCGAACAACAUUCGGUAACCACGUACAUACUUUCCCUAUAACCCUAGCGUCACCGAACCUUAAGUGUGUAGACCCUACGGGUUCGGGAACCAUGCAGACAUGACCGAGACGUUCUCCGGUCAAUAACCAACAGCGGGAUCUGGAUACCCAUGUUGGCUCCCACAUGUUCCACGAUGAUCUCAUCGGAUGAACCAUGAUGUCGGGGAUUCAAUCAAUCCCGUAUACAAUUCCCUUUGUCUAUCGGUAUGUUACUUGCCCGAGAUUCGAUCGUCGGUAUCCCGAUACCUUGUUCAAUCUCGUUACCGGCAAGUCUCUUUACUCGUUCCGUAACUCACAUCAUCCCGUGAUCAACUCCUUGGUCACACUGUGCACAUUAUGAUGAUGUCCUACCGAGUGGGCCCAGAGAUACCUCUCCGUUUACACGGAGUGACAAAUCCCAGUCUCGAUUCGUGCCAACCCAAUAGACACUUUCGGAGAUACCUGUAGUGCACCUUUAUAGCCACCCAGUUACGUUGUGACGUUUGGUACACCCAAAGCAUUCCUACGGUAUCCGGGAGUUGCACAUCUCAUGGUCUAAGGAACUGAUACUUGACAUUAGAAAAUCUCUGAGCAAACGAACUACACGAUCUUGUGCUAGGCUUAGGAUUGGGUCUUGUCCAUCACAUCAUUCUCCUAAUGAUCUGAUCCCGUUAUCAACGACAUCCAAUGUCCAUGGUCAGGAAACCGCAACCAUCUAUUGAUCAACGAGCUAGUCAACUAGAGGCUUACUAGGGACAUGGUGUUGUCUAUGUAUCCACACAUGUAUCUGAGUUUCCUAUCAAUACAAUUCUAGCAUGGAUAAUAAACGAUUAUCAUGAACAAGGAAAUAUAAUAAUAACCUAUUUAUUAUUGCCUCUAGGGCAUAUUUCCAACAGUCUCCCACUUGCACUAGAGUCAAUAAUCUAGUCCACAUCACCAUGUGAUUAACACUCAUAGGUCACAUCACCAUGUGACCAACAUCCAAAGAGUUUUCAAGUACCUAGUUCACAUCACUAUGUGAUUAACAAUCUAGUUCACAUCACUAUGUGAUUAACACUCAAUGAGUUCUGGUUUGAUCAUGUUAUGCUUGUGAGAGAGGUUAUUAGUCAACGGGUCUGAACCUUUCAGAUCCGUGUGUGCUUUACGAAUAUCUAUGUCAUCUUGUGGAUGCUACCACGCGCUAUUUGGAGCCAUUUCAAAUAAUUGCUCUACUAUACGAAACCGGUUUACUACUCAGAGUCAUCCGGAUUAGUGUCAAAGUUCGCAUCGACGUAACCCUUUACGACGAACUCCCUUUCACCUCCAUAAUCGAGAAAAUUCCUUAGUCCACUAGGUACUAAGGAUAAGUUCGACCGCUGUCAUGUGAUCCUUUCCCGGAUCACUAUUGUACCCUCUUGACCAACUCAUGGCAAGGCACACUACAUGUGCGGUACGCAGCAUAGCAUACUGUAGAGCCUACGUCUGAAGCAUAGGGGAUGACCUUCGUCCUUUCUCUCUCUUCUGCUGUGGUCAGGUCUUGAGUCUUACUCAAUACUCACACCUUGUAACACAGCCAAGAACUCCUUCUUUGCUGAUCUAUUUUGGACUCUUUCAAAAUCAUGUCAAGGUGUGCGUUCUUUGAAAGUAUCAUUAGGCGUCUUGAUCUAUCUCUAUAGAUCUUGAUGCCCAAUAUGUAAGUAGCUUUAUCCAGGUCUUCCUUUGAAAAACUCCUUUCAAACAAUCCUUUAUGCUUUCCAGAAAUUCUACAUCAUUUCGGAUCAACAAUAUGUCAUUCACAUAUACUUAUCAGAAAUGUUGUAGCUCUCCCACUCACUUUAUUGUAAAUACAAGUUUCUAACAAACUUUGUAUAAACCCAAAAACUUUGAUCACUCCAUCAAAGCGUAUAUUCUGACUCCGAGAUGCUUGCUCUAGUCCAUGGAAGGAUCGCUGGAGCUAGCAUACCUUUUAGCAUCCUUAGGAUCGACAAAACCUUUCUGAUUGUAUCACAUACAACCUUUCCUUACGCAAACUGGUAAGGAAACUUGUUUUGACAUCCAUCUGCCAGAUUUCAUAAAUGCAGCUAAUUCUAACAUGAUUCCGACGGACUUAAGCAUCGCUACGGAUGAGAAAAUCUCAUCGUAGUCAACUCCUUGAACUUAUGGAAAUACUCUUUGCCACAAGUCAAGCUUCAUAGACGGUAACCUUACCGUCCACGUUCGUCUUCUUCUUAAAGAUCCAUUUAUCUCGGAUUUCAUGGCUUCUAACCAUUUGUCAGAAUAUGGGCCCACCAUCGCUUCUCCAUAGCUCAUAGGUUCAUCGUUGUCCAACAACAUGACUUCCAAGACAGGAUCACGUACUACUCUGAAGUAUUACGCAUCCUCGUCGUCCUACGAGGUUUGGUAGUGACUUGAUCCGAAGUUUCAUGAUCACUAUCAUAAGCUUCCACUUCAAUUGGUGUAGGUGCCACAGGAACAACUUCCUGUGCCCUGCUACACACUAGUUGAAGUGACGGUUCAAUAACCUUAUCAAGUCUCCACCAUCCUCCCACUCAAUUCUUUCGAGAGAAACUUUUCCUCGAGAAAGGACGUUUCUAGAAGCAAUUACUUUUGCUUCCAGAUCUGAAAUAGGAGGUACACCCAACUGUUUUGGGUAUUCUAUGAAGAUGUAUUUAUCCGCUUUGGGUUCGAGCUUAUCAGCCUGAAACUUUUUCACAUAAGCGUCGCAGCCCCAAACUUUUAAGAAACGACAACUUAGGUUUCUCUAAACGGUGUCGUCUCAACGGAAUUGCGUGGUGCCCCUUUUAAAGUGAAUGCGGUUGUCUCUAAUGCCUAACCCAUAAACGAUAGUGGUAAUUUGAUAAGAAACAUCAUGGUAUGCACUAUAUCCAAUAGGGUGCAGUUAUGAUGUUCGGACACACCAUCACACUAUGGUGUUCCAGGCGGUAUUAAUUGUGAAACACUUUCCACAAUGUCUUAAUUGUGUGCCAAACUCGUAACUCAGAUACUCAUCUCUAUGAUCAUAUCACAGACAUUUUAUCCUCUUGUCACGACGAUCUUCAACUUCACUCUGAAAUUACUUGAACCUUUCAAUAAUUCAGACUUGUGUUUUAUCAAGUAAAUACACUCAGCAUCUACUCAAAUCAUCUGUGAAGUAAGAACAUAACGAUAUCCACUGCAUGCCUCAGCAUUCAUUGGACUGCAUACAUCAAAAUGUAUUACUUCCAAUAAAUUGCUCUCUUGUUCCAUCUUACUGAAAACGAGGCCUUUCAGUCAUCUUGCCCAUGUGGUAUGAUUUGCAUGUCUCAAGUGAUUCAAAAUCAAGUGAGUACAAACGAUCCAUCUGCAUGGAGUUUCUUCAUGCAUAUAUACCAAUAGACAUGGUUCGCAUGUCUCAAUCUUUUCAAAAACGAGUGAGUCCAAAGAUCCAUCUACAUGGAGCUUCUUCAUGCGUUCUAUACCAAUAUGACUCAAAUGGCAGUGCCACAAGUGUGUGGAACUAUCAUUACUAUUUUAUAUCUUUUGGCACGAACAUGUGUAUCACUACGAUCGAGAUUCAUUUUAGGUGCAAGACCAUUGAAGGUAUUAUUCAAAUAAACAGAGUAACCAUUAUUCUCCUUAAAUGAAUAACCGUAUUGCGAUAAACAUAAUCCAAUCAUGCUCAACGCAAACACCAAAUCUCGAUGGUAGAGGGAGCACGCGAUGCUUGAUCACAUCAACCUUGGAAACACUUCCAACACAUAUCGUCAUCUCACCUUUAGCUAGUCUCCGUUUAUUCCGCAGCUUUUAUUUCGAGUUACUAACACUUAGCAACCGAACCGGUAUCUAAUACCCUGGUGCUGCUAGGAGUACUAGUAAAGUACACAUUCAUAUAAUGUAUAUCUAGUAUACUUCUGUCGACCUUGCCUGCCUUCUCAUCUACCAAAUAUCUAGGGUAGUACUGCUUCAGUGACCGUUCCUCUCAUUACAGAAGCACUUAGUCUCGGGUUUGGGUUCAACCUUGGGAUUCUUCACUAGAGCCGCAAACGACUUGCUGUUUCAUGAAGUAUCCCCUUUUGCCCUUGCCCUUCUUAAACUAGUGGUUUUACUAACCAUCAACAAUUGAUGCUCCUUCUUGAUUUCUACUCUCGCGGUGUCAAACAUCGCGAAUAGCUCAAGGAUCAUCAUAACUAUCCCUGAUAUGUUAUAGUUCAUCACGAAGCUCUACUAGCUUGGUGGCAGUGACUAUGGAGAACUAUCACUAUCUCAUCUGGAAGGUUAACUCCCACUUGAUUCAAGCGAUUUGUGGCACUCAGACAAUCUGAGCACAUGCUUAACGAUUGAGCUUUUCUCCCUUAGUCUGCAGGCUUAAGAAACUUGUCAGAGGUCUCAUACCUCUUGACGUGGGCACUAGUCUGAAAUCUCAAUUUCAGUCUUCGGAACAUCUCAUAUGUUCUGCGACGUUUCAAAAACCGUCUUUGGUGCCACAAUUCUAAACCGUUAGCAUUACGCACUGAACUAUCACGUAGUCAUCAAAACGUGUAUGUCAGAUGUUUCGCAACAUCUACAGACGAUGCUGAGGUUCAGCACACCGAGCGGUGCAUUAAGGACAUAAGCCUUCUGUGCAGCAAUGAGGACAAUCCUCAGUUUACGGACCCAGUCCGCAUAAUUGCUACUACCAACUUUCAACUAAAUUUUCUCUAGGAACAUAUCUUAAACAGUAGAACUAAAGCGCAAGAUAUGACAUAAUAUGCAAAGACUUUUUGACUAUGUUCAUGAUAAUGAAGUUCAUCUGAUUAUUGAACUCCCACUCAGAUAGACAUCCCUCUAGUCAUCUAAGUGAUACAUGAUCCGAGUCAAACUAGGCCGUGUCCGAUCAUCACGUGAGACGGACUAGUCAUCAUCGGUGAACAUCUCCAUGUUGAUCGUAUCUUCUAUACGACUCAUGCUCGACCUUUCGGUCUCUUGUGUUCCGAGGCCAUGUCUGUACAUGCUAGGCUCGUCAAGUCAACCUAAGUGUUUUGCAUGUGUUCCGAGGCCAUGUCUGUACAUGCUAGGCUCGUCAACACCCGUUGUAUUCGAACGUUAGAAUCUAUCACACCCGAUCAUCACGUGGUGCUUCGAAACAACGAACCUUCGCAACGGUGCACAGUUAGGGGGAACACUUUCUUGAAAUUAUUAUAAGGGAUCAUCUUACUUACUACCGUCGUUCUAAGCAAAUAAGAUGCAUAACAUGAUAAACAUCACAUGCAAUCAAAUAGUGACAUGAUAUGGCCAAUAUCAUUUUGCUCCUUUGAUCUCCAUCUUCGGGGCACCACGAUCAUCUUUGUCACCGGCAUGACACCAUGAUCUCCAUCAUCAUGAUCUCCAUCAUUGUGUCUUCAUGAAGUUGUCACGCCAACGAUUACUUCUACUUCUAUGGCUAACGCGCUUAGCAAUAAAGUAAAGUAAUUUACAUGGCGUUAUUCAAUGACACGCAGGUCAUACAAAAAAUAAAGACAACUCCUAUGGCUCCUGCCGGUUGUCAUACUCAUCGACAUGCAAGUCGUGAUUCCUAUUACAAGAAUAUGAUCAAUCUCAUACAUCACAUAUAUCAUUCAUCACAUCUUCUGGCCAUAUCACAUCACAUAACACAUGCUGCAAAAAUAAGUUAGACGUCCUCUAAUUGUUGUUGCAAGUUUUUACGUGGCUUGUAUAGGUUUCUAGCAAGAACGUUUCUUACCUACGUAAAACCACAACGUGAUAUGCCAAUUUCUAUUUACCCUUCAUAAGGACCCUUUUCAUCGAAUCCGUUCCGACUAAAGUGGGAGAGACAGACACCCGCUAGCCACCUUAUGCAACUAGUGCAUGUCAGUCGGUGGAACCUGUCUCACGUAAGCGUACGUGUAAGGUCGGUCCGGGCCGCUUCAUUCCACAAUGCCACCGAAACAAGAUAAGACUAGUAGCGGCAAGAAGAAUUCGCAACAUCUACGCCCACAACUACUUUGUGUUCUACUCGUGCAUAGAAACUACGCAUAGACCUAGCUCAUGAUGCCGCUGUUGGGGAACGUAGCAGAAAUUCAAAAUUUUCUACGCAUCACCAAGAUCAAUCUAUGGAGUAAUCUAGCAACGAGGGGAAGGGGAGUGCAUCUACAUACCAUUGUAGAUCGCGAUGCGGAAGCGUUGCAAGAACGCGGAUGAAGGAGUCGUACUCGUAGCGAUUCAGAUCGCGGUUGAUUCCGAUCUAAGCACCGAAGAACGGUGCCUCCGCGUUCAACACACGUGCAGCCCGGUGACGUCUCCCACGCCUUGAUCCAGCAAGGAGAGAGAGAGAGGUUGGGGAAGACUCCAUCCAGCAGCAGCACGACGGCGUGGUGGUGGUGGAGGAGCGUGGCAAUCCCGCAGGGCUUCGCCAAGCACCGCGGGAGAGGAGGAGGAGGAAGAGGGGUAGGGCUGCGCCGAAAGAGAGACGUUCUCAUGUCUGUAUGGCAGCCCCAAACCUCAAGUAUAUAUAGGGGAGGGGGAGGGCUGCGCCCCCAUCUAGGGUCCCCCCCCCAAGGGGUGCGGCCAGCCCUAGAUGGGGCUUGGGGGGCGGCCAAAGGAGGGGAGAGAGGGGGCGCCCCACUAGAUGGGCCUUAGGCCCAUCUGAGACUAGGGUUUCCCCCCUUCCCCCUUUCCUGCGCCCUGGACCUCUUGUGGGGGGCGCACCAGCCCACCUGGGGCUGGUCCCCUCCCACACUUGGCCCAUGCAGCCCUCUGGGGCUGGUGGCCCCACUUGGUGGACCCCCGGGACCCUCCCGGUGGUCCCGGUACAUUACCGAUAUCACCCGAAACUUUUCCGGUGACCAAAACAGGACUUCCCAUAUAUAAAUCUUUACCUCCGGACCAUUCCGGAACUCCUCGUGACGUCCGGGAUCUCAUCCGGGACUCCGAACAACAUUCGGUAACCACGUACAUACUUUCCCUAUAACCCUAGCGUCACCGAACCUUAAGUGUGUAGACCCUACGGGUUCGGGAACCAUGCAGACAUGACCGAGACGUUCUCCGGUCAAUAACCAACAGCGGGAUCUGGAUACCCAUGUUGGCUCCCACAUGUUCCACGAUGAUCUCAUCGGAUGAACCACGAUGUCGGGGAUUCAAUCAAUCCCGUAUACAAUUCCCUUUGUCUAUCGGUAUGUUACUUGCCCGAGAUUCGAUCGUCGGUAUCCCGAUACCUUGUUCAAUCUCGUUACCGGCAAGUCUCUUUACUCGUUCCGUAACUCACAUCAUCCCGUGAUCAACUCCUUGGUCACACUGUGCACAUUAUGAUGAUGUCCUACCGAGUGGGCCCAGAGAUACCUCUCCGUUUACACGGAGUGACAAAUCCCAGUCUCGAUUCGUGCCAACCCAACAGACACUUUCGGAGAUACCUGUAGUGCACCUUUAUAGCCACCUAGUUAUGUUGUGACGUUUGGUACACCCAAAGCAUUCCUACGGUAUCCGGGAGUUGCACAAUCUCAUGGUCUAAGGAACUGAUACUUGACAUUAGAAAAGCUCUGAGCAAACGAACUACACGAUCUUGUGCUAGGCUUAGGAUUGGGUCUUGUCCAUCACAUCAUUCUCCUAAUGAUCUGAUCCCGUUAUCAACGACAUCCAAUGUCCAUGGUCAGGAAACCGCAACCAUCUAUUGAUCAACGAGCUAGUCAACUAGAGGCUUACUAGGGACAUGGUGUUGUCUAUGUAUCCACACAUGUAUCUGAGUUUCCUAUCAAUACAAUUCUAGCAUGGAUAAUAAACGAUUAUCAUGAACAAGGAAAUAUAAUAAUAACCUAUUUAUUAUUGCCUCUAGGGCAUAUUUCCAACAGCCGCGACGAGGGAGGCGUCGUCGUCCUCGAGGACAGCGACGACGAGGCACCGUCGCCGGCCAAACCAGUCCGCCAGGGCGAGCCCGGGCAGGGGUCCAGCAGGGACGGCCGUGUGGAGAAGGAGAAGGAGGACGACGGCGACUACACCGCCUUCAGCAAGUUCUUCGACAUGUAGGCGGCGCGGCAGCAGGCCUUUGUUUUUUAGUAGAUUUUAUGUUUUCUAUAUGUAAAAAACUGUGGAACACCUAAAUAUCGCCGAAUCUAUGUCGUGUUUGCCGAAUUUUGCCCGAAUGUCUUUUUAAAAUUAUUUACCAAAAGGGCGUCUGGGGGCGACCUGGGGGCGGCGGCUGGGAAUCCGAUCACCCCCACACCGAAAAUAUCGCCGGUUCGCCCCCAAGCGGCGAUUUUUUCUAGCCCCUGGGGGGCGAACAGCUGGAGAUGCUCUUAAAUCAUGCGAAAAUCUUGCUGAUUUGUUUAUCAAGUCUCUACCAAAUUCUACAUUACAAAAAUAUGUUCAUGGAAUUGGUAUGCGACGACUUCGAGACUUGCAAGUAUUAGGGGGAGUCUCUUCUUGAGAUAUCCUUGUUCAAACAUCACAUUACGUUGUUUCUCUUUGUGAGUUUGUGUUUCAGGUGCUCAUCAAAGAUUUUUAUGAAGAACUUUUGGACAAGAAUCUUUUUGAGAUAAUAGAGCUAUCUGGACAAUCGUGAGAUGAUUCUACAUGGUCAAGCGUAGAUUAGGGGGAGGGGUGUUAAGAUUAAUUGUAAUUAGGGAAAAUCUCCCCUUGCCCAACUGUCGUUGCGCUUUCUCCCGCAACGAACGCCUCCCCCUCUUGUAUCCCUGGAACCGACGUCCCCUCGAUGGAUCAUCGCGUCUCUCCCUGAUGGCUUUCUCUCACAAUAAUCAUGCAAAAAAACAUUACAUCAUUUACAACAUGAUGUAAAGUUACGGUCGUCAACCGAUGGAGAAGAGCUACAACUUUGCAUUAGUGUGUGAUUCGGCUUUGAAAUAUGACGAUUUGACUUUGAAACAUGGCAAUUCGGCUUUGCAUGAAUGACAUCUAGCCUUAUAGUGUCCUUGCAGUGUCCCAUCUCAACUUAUAGUGGAGGCGCCCAACAUUGCAACAACUACCUGACUUGCAACAACGCCACCUAGCCUUUGUAGCGGCACGGGUCCUUGCUUGCAACAUCAGUGGCACCUCGAGCUUGCAAUGGCUCCAACCAGACUUCACAACGAUGCGGUACCCGUCUGUGGCGGCGGUAGCCGGUAUUGAAGCACCGGCCAGCUUUGUAGUGGCGUGCUCCCCUACACGCAACACGUGCAAAAAAAUGUUUCUAGCAUGGUGAAACAUUUCCACAUACACUUCACGGGUAUGUGAUCGUAUUUUGGAAAGGAAACAUUUUUUGUCAAUCACAUUCAACAUGAAAAUUAUGUGUAUACAACAAAUUCUCUAGUGGCAAUAAAAUGUUCACAACGCAUGUAACAUGAAAAAUUAACACAAGCAACAUAAAACAAUUAAUAUGGAACAUGUAUGCAUUCCCGAAAAAACUUCACAACACAUGUCAUGCUUACACAAUAAACAAGAAAACAUGCUCUGCCCAUGUGUGUUCGACUUGUAGCGGCAAAGGAAACCGCCCUUACAAGGUCACAUGCCAUGUUUGCAGCGUGACAGGCUGCCUUUGGAACACAAAAGAACAGCGCGACAUGCUCGCAACAUCGACACACUUCAUCAGCAACAUCGGCACAAUUUGGGUGGUGAUAUGGUAGGAUGGUCAACAAGUCAAGUACUCCCUCCGUUCCAAAAUAGACGACUCAACUUUGUACUAAUUUUAGUACAAAGUUAGUAUAAAGUUAGGUCAUCUAUUUUGGAACGGAGGGAGUAGAUGCCAGUUACAACCAACAAAAACAAAUACAAUCUCCACCAACAAGUCAAGUAGAUGCCAAUAAUCAAGACAUCUACAACUUAUUAAUUUAAAGUUUUAAAUGUACAAUGCAAAAAAACCAUACAAACAAAACUGUAUCAUUCUCCCUUACUGAUGAAAGAACUAUAUACGAAGCAAAAUGAGUGAAUCUACAUUUUAAAAUUUGUCUAUAUCCGUAUAUAGUUUAUAGUGGAAUAAGACUUACAUUUAAGAACGGAGGGAGUACUAAUUAAGAGGACUCAGAAUAUGGGUGGUGAUAUAGCAGGAUGGUCGGCAAGGCAAAUAAAUGCCAGUUACGACGAACAAGACCAAAUAUCCAUCUUCACCGUCCUCUACAAUAAAUUCAGACAUGAGGUUGCAAAACAUAACAAGCAAAAUAACACACAAAUUGUUUGAUUCUCCCGAGAAAGGGAAGGUUGUACGGUCGUCAGAUAGGAGCAAGAUCAUUGGCCUCAUAGAGAAGAUUAGAUCGUUCCACAUGAAGAAAAUUCAGACAUAUCCUUGUCUAUAAUUUNNNNNNNNNNNNNNNNNNNNNNNNNNNNNNNNNNNNNNNNNNNNNNNNNNNNNNNNNNNNNNNNNNNNNNNNNNNNNNNNNNNNNNNNNNNNNNNNNNNNNNNNNNNNNNNNNNNNNNNNNNNNNNNNNNNNNNNNNNNNNNNNNNNNNNNNNNNNNNNNNNNNNNNNNNNNNNNNNNNNNNNNNNNNNNNNNNNNNNNNNNNNNNNNNNNNNNNNNNNNNNNNNNNNNNNNNNNNNNNNNNNNNNNNNNNNNNNNNNNNNNNNNNNNNNNNACUCGGAAUAUGGGUGGUGAUAUAACAGAUGGUCGGCAGGCAAGAAGAUGCCAGUUACGACGAACGAGACAAAAUAUCAAUAGUCGCCAUACUAAACCCCGAUGCAAAAUCCCCCAAGAACAACCAAAAAGACAGGUUGACAACAAGCACACAGAAUUGCAGCUUGCUCCAGACACAAAAUCCUGCAGUUUCUAGUGAAAGCAAGCAUGCUUUAUACGCUGGAAUGAGGCAGUCUCAGCUACAAGCUUGCAGAAUCUCACGACAAAAAUGGUGAUAAGAGAUGUAGGAAGGUUGGUAAGCGGGUUGCCCAUUAACAUGGGCAGGCCGACCAGAUUUCCUUCCUUGGUAGUUUGACACAGCCGAAUCUGGCAAAGCAAGACGAUGGUACAAAGAACCCAGGCCUUGGUACAAUGCAGCCCUGAUGCUCAUGCUUUAAUAGAUGAACAAAUGGUUCUGAAAUGCAAUGGUGAGCAGUCAGACAAUGCUUUCUAGGCAAAUGCAUCUCCAUCAGAACACAGCAAUGUUUGCUGCUCGGAGCCCAGUGCAUAUCUUCUUCCAUACCACACAACCAAGCUAUAACUCAAAAAAGAAAGGGAAGAGUUGCGAUGGAAUCUGUAGCCCUCAAUUUUUUUUGGAUCGUGCGCUGUCCAAAAAAUUAUUAACAUAUUUUAAAGAAUGCAAGACGGUUCAACUAGUAGACACUAAAAAGCUGUUCAAUUUGGCUUCAGAAUUGCAGAAAGACAGCAUGGACACAUAGCAACCGAUCAGUCCCAAAAGAUGGUAUGAUUAAUAGGUUUUUCAUCACUGGCCAAGCAUGAACAAAUAUGCCUCUAAAAUUUCAGCAUACAUCAAAUCUGAACUAACACAACACGCUAGUCCUGCACGCAGAGCUCAAAAGAUGCAAAUCUGAAGGCAUUGAAUAAGCUUCCAGGCAUCAUAUAGUUUCCUAAAUUUUCAUCAAAAGAAAAGCGUGAUACCAAAGGCAUAAAAACAACAAUGAGAUGCAUUUGAAAUGAGAGGAAAAUGAUUGUUGGCGAAAGAGAUUAUCAAGCUCAACCCAACUGCCCAUUUUCCUCAAAUUAAUAUAGCAGGAAACACUUUCAGUAAGAAAUGCACAUCAAAAGGCAUUUAACCGAUACACACUUAUCCUGCAAAGGCAACAAGCGAGAAAAAAGUGAAACCACUUUGUAUGCAAAGCAGAUGGAUUCAGAAGCACUCAUCCCAUAUGAAGGAUAAUGAGAGGAAAAUGAUUGUUGGCAAAAGAGAUUAUCAAGCUCAACACAGCAAAAGGCAUUUAACUGAUACACACUUAGCCGACAAAGGCAACAAGGGAGAAAAAAGUGAAACAAAUUCGUAUGCAAUGCAGAUAGAUUCAGAAGCAUUCAUCCCAUAUGAAGAACAGAAAAAGGCAAGCAUAUUCUUAUGCUGUCAUGGAAACAUACAACAAUGGCGCAAAAAUACACAGAAGUGUCAGAUUAGAUGAGAGGAAAGUGAUUGUUGAAGAAAGCAUAUAAAGGCCUAAACAAGCUGUUCACUUUCCCCCCAUUGGUAUAGGAUGGAAAACUAUCAGCAGUACAUAAAAAGUGUUCCUGGAAAUUGCAGCAAGCUUAGCCAUUGCCACAGAGCAUGGAAAUUGCAAGACAACUCGGGGUAAUCUGAAGUUACUAUGUGCCACAAGGUUUUCAUGAUGCAUUUGGUGGCAAGGCAUAAAAAACAGAUGUGCAUACACAAUGGCUAAAACAUACACAGCAGAUCAACCACAUAGAACCAAUAUUCAACUACCAGCAUAGUCAUUAAUCCAAAACAGUAGGUGCUAAGCUUAGCACAUCUAAGAACGAAAUUUAAGAGUAACAAGUUUUCUCAUGGACCAAAAUAAGACCACUGUAUCAAGACAAGGCAGUUCAACUCUUUAAUCCACAAAAACAGAUCAUAAAACAGAAAAGAAACAUUAUCUAGAUAAAGCAAGAUGGCCCAUUAUACCCUUCAAGCAGCAGCAGCGUCUGCACUCUUCUCACCGUCACCACCCUGAGUAGUUGCUUUAUUAGCCUCUGCCUCGGCAGCAGCAUCCAUCUCCUGUGCAGUAGCAUCAACAUCAUCUGUAGCCGGACGAAUCUGCUCCUCCUCUGGAAGUGGCUCUUCAACAUAAUCGUUCUCAAAUGCAUCAUUAGGAACCUGAUAGAUCCUCAUCUGUGGCUUUGCAGGAUCUUUCACAAGCACAUACUUGCCCUCUUCAAACUUCAUGCAUAUGUCCACAAUCGACUUGACAAUUCCCCACAUGUUUGCAGUGUUGAGGUUGAUCUGGGUAGCAAAAUCCCUUGGCUUGUAGCCCAUCACAGUGAGUAUGGAGUGGUUGAAGUGGUCGCGGGGGUGCACACGUGACACAUAACCCAACUUCAUCAUGUCUGCGCCAGAAAGUAAAGCCUGGGCAGUCCAGCGAGCGAGCUUGUUGGCAUUGUUCUUGAGCUCUGUAGCAAGCACAGCUCCGCGCUGGGACUCGAGCUUCUGCUUCCAGUCAACACCAGUAAUCUUAGGAUCAAACUCAUUGAGUGCAUUAAGAGUGAGGAACUGGCGAGCACCACUCGGAUCAACACCGGCAGCAUGCACUUCACAGCGAGCAAUGAUGCUAAUAUCAUCGUCCAGCUUCCAGCGGCGAUAACGGUAGCAAACAGGCGCCGCCUCCUCAUUCUCAGAAGCAAACGGGUUAGGCUCAUCAAAGGUAACCUUCUCGCCAUCACGUACCAGCACCUGCUGCGAGAAGUUCUGGUUGAUGUAGGUGGCCUCGACAGCAAGAGCCGGCGCGGAAUUGAUGUCAUCCUUGUUCUCAGGGAGCUGCUCCUGCGCAGUCUCGUUGACAGUGAGCAGAUCGAGCUGGGAGCCCUCGCGCUUGUCGAAGAAGAGCUUGUUGCCGACGCGCUGCACGACAAUGUCCCAGGAGAGGAUGCUGCGGGGUGUGCACAUGAGGGCGGCGAGGAUGGCGUCGGUGGCGAAGACGGUGGCCUUGUCCUCCUCGGCGAGGCGGCGGAUGAUGGGGUCGUCGGUGGUGGUGAUCUUGAAGAACUGGCGGUUCUUGAAGCGCUCGAGGCGGCGGGCCGUCUUGGGGUUGACGCGGUCGUAGGCGCGGUCGUACGAGUCGACGGCGCCGCAGACGAGGAGGUCCUCGGGCUGGUCGUUGACGGCGAAGGAGAGCUUGGUGAAGUUGGCGAAGGGGAUCUGCUCGAGGAUGGUCCAGUCGGGCUGGAUGUCGACCGAGGGCUUGGCGGUGUUCUGCUGGUUGCCGCGGAAGCCCUGGUGGUGGUGGGAGCGGUGGUUCUGGUAGUGGCGCUCGCGGCGGGCGCGCUCCUUCUCGGCCUCGCGGCGCUUGGCCUCGACCUCCUCGUCGCGGCGCUGGGGGAGCUGGGGCCGCUGGUUGAAGCGCCACUUGGGCCCGAAGCGCGGGUGCUUGGGCGGCGGCUUGGCGUCCACGAGGCUGAAGGACGAGUCCUCGGCGGCGGCGGCGAGCGAGUCGUCGGCCGAGGAGAAGUCGAAGACCGAGUCGCGGGAGGCGGCGGCCGCGUGGUGGCCGUGCGCGCCCGGGUGGCCCGGGUUGCGCGUCCAGUCGGCGAUGCGGCCCAGCUUGUCGGAGCGGGAGAAGGGCGCGAAGGGGAUGGAGGCCGUCGCGACGGCCCCGCCCAGCAGCGGCGCCGCGCCCGGGGCGUCGGGAGGGCCCCAGCCGUCCGGGUUGAAGGGGACGACGCCCACGUCGAAGCCCAUGGUCGCGGCGGCGGCGGCGGUGCGGGUGGAUCCGGAGGCGGAGGGAGGCGGCGGCGGUGUGGGUUAGGGUUGGGUGGGACGCGAUGGAGGAGGACGGGACGACGAGGCUUUAGGGUUUGGGUAAGCGAAUAUUUAUUUUCUGAGUGGCCUCUACCGGGCCUAUGGCCCACAUAUCAGCGUGUACUCCGUGGACUCGCAUGUCGGCGUCCGAUCCCGGCCCGUUAAACAAGUGGAAUAUUUCUCCACAUGAAAAAAAGAAUCUGAUAUCUCUUGACUCAAUAUUUUUUAUCAGAUCUCUGUUUUUUCUAAAGAAUCUAUCAGAUCUCUGUUUUCUUAUAUACAUAAAAAUGAAAUCAUAUCUCUCAACUUUUGGCUAUGUUUUUUUCAAAAACAAAAACAGAUUUUAGGUGAUUGGCAGUGCUUGGAUUUACUAUAAGUCCGGAAGAAACGUUCUCCAGUUAUCUUGUUAUAGUUCGGACCAUGUUUUGAAAUCAUGUCAUGAACACGUUUGGAAUUCGGAAAUUUCGAGCGAAACCGUUAUGUGGUACCAAGACACCAUAGACCAACACACCAAACAGGAUUACAGGACUCCUUCACAAAACCGCACUGUUCAAACAGAAAACCUUACAGUGCGUGAGGAAACAUCCCAGGUUUCAGACAGCAGGCAGCCGGUUCAGCACGGUACCGUCAGCACUGCAGGACGGAGAAACUAGCACAGUACCAGCAUAAAUUUCAGGCUCUCACGCUUUUAUUCUGUCCGAGUCCGACUCGGACGACACUCGGUGCGACAUCAUCAUAAUGUUCCCGAUCCCAUACCGAACUGUUACAGGCAUCAACAGCCAUGGAAUGGCAUAGCGCGGUGGAUAACAGCAUGUCUGCGACACUUCAGUUCAAAAUUCAGCAGGCGUUACACGACGUCCGGAAUACUUAUUACUAGAGCAACGAGACGGCAUGGGCGCAGCAAAUGGCAGAGUUCCGUUCAAAAAAGGCAUGGGAGCUACUCGGUGGAUUCCUUGUUCUCGGCGGCCUUGGCCUCCUCG